Molecule: long non-coding RNA, 2977 nt
Organism: Serinus canaria (Common canary)
Lineage: Eukaryota; Metazoa; Chordata; Aves; Passeriformes; Fringillidae
Exons: 3
Source: RefSeq, a predicted model, not a curated record
GUGCUGAAAAAUUUACCCUCUGAACCCCCUGAUUUGGCAGAUAAUGAAUUGGCUUCUCUGGUGAACUUAGAGUUUUAUAGAUUGGACUUACUUAUGAAUAACUUUGAAUGUGUUCAUUUUUCCACAAGCUGGGAGGGCUUGAGCAGGCUGCCAGAGGUGUAUGAACAGCUUGCACCACGGCCGAGACUGGGACUGAAGAUCUGCCUUCCGAGGAACUGUGAAUUGUUUGUGCUUGACAACAGGAAGAGAACCAGUGAGUGUGAGACUGAGGGCACACCAGAAACAUCGCAUCCUGAGCUGGAGAACGACACCAAGCUGGCAAUAUCCCCAGCUGAGACAGAGAACCGCAGGGAAAAGACACUGGAAGACAUCCUUACCGUGACUGUUCCUGAUAAAAAAAUCCACCCUGUCCUUUCUGCGGUACCCAGGUGAACUGUGUGUUGGGCUUGAUUGAACAUCUGAGGGUAGCCCACGGGAAAAGGAGGGUUUGUUUUCAGUGUGCUUAAUGUGUAAAAAAAAAGAGUAAUUUUCAUGGUAUUGUUUGUCACUUUCCUGAAUGCAGAACAGCAGAAAUGGCUCCAGCCGAGAUAGCGGAUAUGUAAGGAAUGCAGCAGGGACUUCAAGAUGAAAAUUGGUCUGGAACAACACAAAAGAUUGGCACAUGCAUUGGUUAGAAAUCAGGAAAGGGUCACUGUUUCCCACCCAAAAGAGACUUCCAACUGAGGAGCCCACAAAAGAUGCUGGACUAAAGAGGAGGAAGAACUACUGAUAAGAUUGGAGGCUCAGUUUGAAUGGAACAAGAGCAUCGAUAAACUCAUUGCAGAACACACAUCACAACCAAAACAGCUAAACAAAUCAGGGACAAAAGGAGAUUGCUGCCCAAGAAACCAGCUGAGGAUGUACAUAAGGAACCUGGGAUGAGUCAUGAAACCAGGAGAGCUGCUGUGGGCCUUAGAACAGAAUUGGAAAAAGACCUUGGGAGGAGUCAGAUGCCUGGGAGACCAGCUGCUGGAAGGAAAACAGAUGCCAAGAUGAGUCACCCUGAUAAGGAACAGCUGGGAAACAGCAGCUGCCAGAGGGAGGGGCAGCUGCAGGCCAACUAUCUCAGAACCCUCAGGGAAUGGCUAUCAGCUGGCACAAUCAACACCUUCCCUCGGGCAUUCAAGCACUUCCUAGAUGGCCAGGAGAUGCAAUCAACAAUCAAUCAAUCAGCACAGGAAUGCUUCUGAUGCCUUGAAUCAAUCAGCCAGAUAAGAAUAGCAACCAGAGAUAAGAGAAAAAUGGGGACCCAGGAAAAAGGACCAAUGAGACCUUUCCAAAAGUGGAAGAAAAGAACAGCAGUUAAGAAGAAAAGUAAUUAUCUUCACUUCCAGGACCUGUCCCAUCUAGAUAGGGGAAAACUUGCUAAAAUUAUCCUGAAUGACAUAGAGUGUUUUUCCUGUGAAAUCCCUCCCAGCGAACUUUAUUCAGUUUUUAAAGCCAGAUGGGAAACACCUGGAACAUUUAAUAGCCUUGGGAACUUCCAAAUUAAUGGGAAAGCUGACAAUAGUGCUGACAAUAGUGCUCUUCAGAGACUUAAUUAAAGCAAAAGGAAUUGAGAAGAAUACACAGGAGAUGAGCAAAAACUCAGCUCCCAGUCCAGGAUUACUCUAAGAGACAUUAAGAAGAUGGAUCCAGAGUACUCCCGAACCAGGGAGAUCUUCAGCUUAUGGUUAACAUCAGGAAAAAUCCCAGACAUGCUGAGGGGUUGCAGGACUGUUUUGAUUCCUAAGUCAACCAAACCAGGGCGCCUAAAGGACAUUAACAACUGGAGACCCAUCCCAAUUGGUUCAAUCUUGCUUAGACUGUUCUCCAGGAUUUUAACAGCCAAACUGACCAAGGCUUGCCCCCUCAAACCAAGGCAAAGAGGCUUUAUAAGAGUAGUGGGAUGCUCUGAAAAGCUGAAACUCCUGUAAACCAUAAUUGGUCAGCAAAAGGAGAACACAAACCCCUGGGUGUUGUAUUUGUGGACAUCGCCAAGGUUUUGCCACCGUAAGCCAGCAACACAUUCUACAUGCCCUACAGGAAAGGGAAGUAGAUCCCCACAUCAUCAAUUUGGUUUAAAAACGUGAUUUUUGAAAUCAGUCCAACAGAAGAAGCAGGAGAUUUUGAGGUUAAAGCAAAAUUCAUGGAUGUACAGAUGGAAACAUUUAUGUUACAUUAUCAGGAUCUCUUGCAGCUGCAGUAUGAAGGUGUUGCUGUCACGAAGUUGUUCAACAGAGCAAAAGUGAAUGUCAAUCUUCUGAUCUUCCUUCUGAAUAAGAAAUUUUAUGGGAAGUAACUGACCUCUGCCAGCAAGUCUUUGAAAGGGGAGAUGGAUAGAAAUCUGCACCUACAACUUCUAAUAAUGUAGUGAUGUAUCAGUAUAUUCCCACUGUGUACUAGUUGUAUCAAAUGUAUCAUGGAGGACUAAGAACCUCUUGGGAAUUGACAACCCUGAUUGAGUCUACAGGGAGUUGGUUUCUUGUUUAUUUAUAAUCUUCAACUUUGAAGAUCCCCUUUAAAGAGGUUAUUUUAGAAUGUAUUUUUACAUGGGUUUGGGAAUUCAACUAAUGUUAGAGUAUACUUAGGCCAUCUGAAUGCUAAUUUUCCUAACUGUGUGCUUUAUGAGGCUUGCGUUCUUGUUGCCUAUGCAAAGAGAAAGCUGGCACUAUAUAGAGGUCUGUUAGCCUCUUCCUGAGAGCCAAAAAAGGGUUGCAGGUGGUAUUUGGACUCCAGUUAUUCUCAAGCAAAGAUGACCAAUAGAAAACAUGGUCAAGGUCCAGGUUACCUGUUCGUUUGCAAGCUUGCAUUGGUAGAGGUGGCAGUGGCCAGUUGCCAAGAUUAGAAUGACUGCGGUCAGGGUAAUCAGUAAGCAUCAUAAAAAGUUACUGAGCUAUUUGUGAUUAUGUACUACAGCCACAUAUAGCAGCUUAAGUGUCUUCUUCAUCUGCUUCUG